This 506-nucleotide ribosomal RNA is filed under the name uncultured bacterium. RNAcentral describes it as "partial 16S ribosomal RNA". It matches the Rfam family "Bacterial small subunit ribosomal RNA", at positions 29 to 523 of the family's 1533-position model. The record is from RNAcentral.
AGUGAACGCUGGCGGUAGGUCUAACACAUGCAAGUCGAACGGCAGCACAGGAGAGCUUGCUCUCUGGGUGGCGAGUGGCGGACGGGUGAGGAAUACAUCGGAAUCUACUCUGUCGUGGGGGAUAACGUAGGGAAACUUACGCUAAUACCGCAUACGACCUACGGGCGAAAGCAGGGGAUCUUCGGACCUUGCGCGAUUGAAUGAGCCGAUGUCGGAUUAGCUAGUUGGCGGGGUAAAGGCCCACCAAGGCGACGAUCCGUAGCUGGUCUGAGAGGAUGAUCAGCCACACUGGAACUGAGACACGGUCCAGACUCCUACGGGAGGCAGCAGUGGGGAAUAUUGGACAAUGGGCGCAAGCCUGAUCCAGCCAUACCGCGUGGGUGAAGAAGGCCUUCGGGUUGUAAAGCCCUUUUGUUGGGAAAGAAAUCCAGCUGGCUAAUACCCGGUUGGGAUGACGGUACCCAAAGAAUAAGCACCGGCUAACUUCGUGCCAGCAGCCGCCGUAA